CCUACGGGAGGCAGCAGUGAGGAAUAUUGGUCAAUGGGCGCGAGCCUGAACCAGCCAAGUAGCGUGAAGGAUGACUGCCCUAUGGGUUGUAAACUUCUUUUAUAAAGGAAUAAAGUGCGGCACGUGUGCCUUUUUGUAUGUACUUUAUGAAUAAGGAUCGGCUAACUCCGUGCCAGCAGCCGCGGUAAUACGGGGGAUCCGAGCGUUUUCCGGUUUUAUUUGGUUUAAAGGGAGCGUAGAUGGGUUGUUAAGUCAGUUGUGAAAGUUUGCGGCUCAACCGUAAAAUUGCAAUUGAAACUGGCAGUCUUGAGUACAGUAGAGGUAGGCGGAAUGCGUGGUGUAGCGGUGAAAUGCUUAGAUAUCACGAAGAACUCCGAUUGCGAAGGCAGCUUACUAAACUGCAACUGACAUUGAUGCUCGAAAGUGUGGGUAUCAAACAGGAUUAGAUACCCUUGUAGUC
Molecule: ribosomal RNA, 460 nt
Filed under: uncultured bacterium
Lineage: Bacteria
Description: partial 16S ribosomal RNA
Rfam family: Bacterial small subunit ribosomal RNA
Source: RNAcentral